AGAGUUUGAUCCUGGCUCAGGACGAACGCUGGCGGCGCGCCUAACACAUGCAAGUCGAACGGAGCUGAGAGGAGCUUGCUUUUCUUAGCUUAGUGGCGAACGGGUGAGUAACGCGUGAGUAACCUGCCCUGGAGUGGGGGACAACAGUUGGAAACGACUGCUAAUACCGCAUAAGCCCACGGCCCGGCAUCGGGCUGCGGGAAAAGGAUUCAUUCGCUUCAGGAUGGACUCGCGUCCAAUUAGCUAGUUGGUGAGGUAACGGCCCACCAAGGCGACGAUUGGUAGCCGGACUGAGAGGUUGAACGGCCACAUUGGGACUGAGACACGGCCCAGACUCCUACGGGAGGCAGCAGUGGGGGAUAUUGCACAAUGGGGGAAACCCUGAUGCAGCGACGCCGCGUGGAGGAAGAAGGUUUUCGGAUUGUAAACUCCUGUCGUUAGGGACGAUAAUGACGGUACCUAACAAGAAAGCACCGGCUAACUACGUGCCAGCAGCCGCGGUAAAACGUAGGGUGCAAGCGUUGUCCGGAAUUACUGGGUGUAAAGGGAGCGCAGGCGGACCGGCAAGUUGGAAGUGAAAACCAUGGGCUCAACCCAUGAAUUGCUUUCAAAACUGCUGGCCUUGAGUAGUGCAGAGGUAGGUGGAAUUCCCGGUGUAGCGGUGGAAUGCGUAGAUAUCGGGAGGAACACCAGUGGCGAAGGCGACCUACUGGGCACCAACUGACGCUGAGGCUCGAAAGCAUGGGUAGCAAACAGGAUUAGAUACCCUGGUAGUCCAUGCCGUAAACGAUGAUUACUAGGGUGUUGGAGGAUUGACCCCUUCAGUGCCGCAGUUAACACAAUUAAGUAAUCCACCUGGGGAGUACGACCGCAAGGUUGAAACUCAAAGGAAUUGACGGGGGCCCGCACAAGCAGUGGAGUAUGUGGUUUAAUUCGAAGCAACGCGAAGAACCUUACCAGGUCUUGACAUCCGAUGCAUAGUGCAGAGAUGCAUGAAGUCCUUCGGGACAUCGAGACAGGUGGUGCAUGGUUGUCGUCAGCUCGUGUCGUGAGAUGUUGGGUUAAGUCCCGCAACGAGCGCAACCCUUAUUGCCAGUUACUACGCAAGAGGACUCUGGCGAGACUGCCGUUGACAAAACGGAGGAAGGUGGGGAUGACGUCAAAUCAUCAUGCCCUUUAUGACCUGGGCUACACACGUACUACAAUGGCGUUUAACAAAGAGAAGCAAGACCGCGAGGUGGAGCAAAACUCAGAAACAACGUCUCAGUUCAGAUUGCAGGCUGCAACUCGCCUGCAUGAAGUCGGAAUUGCUAGUAAUCGCGGAUCAGCAUGCCGCGGUGAAUACGUUCCCGGGCCUUGCACACACCGCCCGUCA
RNAcentral lists this ribosomal RNA (1375 nucleotides) under uncultured bacterium. RNAcentral's name for it is "bacterial SSU rRNA". It matches the Rfam family "Bacterial small subunit ribosomal RNA". The record is from RNAcentral.